AACAUAGCUUCUUGAAACCAUAAGAAGUACCGCCUGCCCAGUGUAUUAAUAUUAACGGCCGCGAAAGUGCUAAGGUAGCAUAAUAAUUUGUUUUUUCAUUGAAGACUAGUAUGAAAGGCAUAACGAAGCUUAACUGUCUCCUUAUAUUUAAUUAAAUCUGAUUCAAAAGUGAAAAAUCUUUUAUUUCUGUGUAGGACAAAAAGACCCUAUAGAGUUUCAGUAAAAUAUAAAUUAUUUAUAAUUAUAUUUACUUUUAUUGGGGCAAUAAAAGAACAUAAAAAAUCUUUAAUUUUAUAUACCCUCCAAGAGAAUAAAAAAAACUACCUUAGGGAUAACAGCGUAAUUUUACCAGAGAGUUCUAAUUGAAGGUAAGGAUUGCGACCUCGAUGUUGGACUAAGGAAACUUUUAUAUGCAAAAGUAUAAAGAUGUAAGCCUGUUCGGCUUUUAAAACCUUACAU
Molecule: ribosomal RNA, 459 nt
Filed under: Smittina torques
Lineage: Eukaryota; Metazoa; Bryozoa; Gymnolaemata; Cheilostomatida; Smittinidae
Description: partial 16S ribosomal RNA
Rfam family: Bacterial large subunit ribosomal RNA
Source: RNAcentral